AAGACUAUAGACCUGCGGAGUACCUGCGGAAGGAUCAUUACCGAGUUAUACAACUCCCAAACCCACUGUGAACCUUACCUCAGUUGCCUCGGCGGGACCGCCCCGGCCGCCGCGCAAGCGGCGCCGGACUCCAAGGCGCCCGCCGCAGGGACCCAAAACUCUUUUGCAUUACGCCCAACGGCGGGAAUUUUUUCUCUGAGUGCAUAAGCAAAACAAAUGAAUCAAAACUUUCAGCAACGG
Molecule: unclassified non-coding RNA, 240 nt
Filed under: soil metagenome
Description: partial contains 5.8S ribosomal RNA, internal transcribed spacer 2, and large subunit ribosomal RNA
Source: RNAcentral